AUGCCCGCCGGCGUGCUGGCCGCAGUGCGCUGGUCCACCGCCUGCUCGGCGCUGCUCAACGCCGCCGCCGCGUCCACCGGCGCGGCCGUCGCGGGCCUCGCGCUCCGGGACCGCUGCGGGGGCGCGCUCGGCCCCGCAGCCGCCGCCGCGUCCGCGGCCUCCGCGGCGAGGCUCCUCGCGUCCGCCGUGGCCGGGUUCGCGCAGGGCCUGGCGGCCAGCGCCAUCGCCGCCGGCGCCAUCGGGGCGCACGUCGACAGCGACCGCGACCUCCGCCAUCUCUCGCGGCUACGAUACAAUAGAUGGCUUUGGUGGGCAAGGUUUGGGAUGGUGAUUACAGUGCUCCAAUUUGUGCUGGCACUUUAUUUGAUGUGUAUUAUUGUAAAGGAUUUCUCAUCUGGGAAGUCAUUGAAGGAGUGUUUUUCAGGACACGACAAGGACGUCAAUGACUGGAAGAACAUCUUGUUAAUGAUUUUUCUUGUUGUCAUGUGGGUGGGAACAAUAGUCCAAUGUGCCACAGGUUCCGAUGUAUUAAGAUGGAGGUCCUUUUAUGCAACCCAUGAUAUUGCAUGGAGGGCUCACUACAGGGAGGUGUUUGAUCAUGGCAUUCGUGAGGUUUUAUGUUGUCUAGGACGGGCGAAGUACUCGAGUGUACUGGAAGAUGACGAUAUAUGUGUUGUGGCAAAACUGUUGGGAGAUAUUAUGGCUUAUCGUGCAUCUGGAACUGGUCACCUUGAGCUCAUAGCAGGGUUUUCAUUGUUGCAGAAAUCCAAGAUGUCAACAGUUCUUUCAAGAGAGCAAGUGGAAGCUCCUCCUGAUCUCAUCCAAGAGGCUAUUCUGUUUCAUCCAUUUGCUGAAGCUGCCUAUACAGGUCCGCUACUUGAUUUUGGGAGGAAUCCUCUUAUGUUUCCCUGUGUUUGGCUCAAUAGGCAAGGUAUUUUAACUCCAUGGACUCGUGCUAGACGACCAAUCCUUGAAGGAGAUAAUUGGUGGAGAGGGCAUGCAGCGGCUUUCCUAAAGUAUGUCAAUGUGCCCCCAGAAGUACUUCGGAAAGGGCGUGUUAGCCAGACAAAACGUGAGGCUGCCUACUUUGUUAUUGUCUUACAUAACUUGAGAACAGUAGUCAUUGCCAUUCGUGGAACUGAGACUCCAGAAGAUGUUAUAACUGAUGGCUUGUGUAGGGAAUGCUCUCUUACCAUGGAUGACUUGGAUGGGCUGAUCAAUUCUGAUCAGUUGCCCCCUCAAGUGAAGGAGACUGUCCUCUCGUCUUUUCCACACUAUGGGCAUGCAGGAAUUAUUGAAUCGGCUCGAGAAUUGUACACAAAGCUUGAAGGGCAGUCCAUUCAUCAAGAUAAGUCAGAGCUGAUGACAGCUGGGUUCUUAUCUUCGCUGCUCGGAGCUGGAUGUGAGUGUGAUGGAUACAAUAUUGAAAUUGUUGGACAUUCUUUAGGAGGUGCUGUAGCUGCACUUCUUGGUAUUAGGCUAUAUAAACAGUUUCCAAAAUUACAUGUCUUUACUUAUGGAGCUGCACCCUGUGUGGAUUUCGUGAUAGCAGAUGCAUGCUCACAGUUUGUUACCAGCAUUGUCCACAACGAUGAAUUUUCCUCAAGAUUAUCCAUGAAUUCGGUAAUUCGAUUACGUGGUGCUGCUAUCAAAGCUUUAUCAAAGGAUACUUCGCCAAAUUCUACUAAAGUUGGCAAACUAGUGGGUGGCUUCACGAGCAACAAAAGGCAUGAUGAACAACACGCUGUGGUUCGAUGUGCUUCUUCUGGUGCUCUUCAGACAGUCAGCGAUGCAAAGCAAAGUAAUGAUCAAAUCCAUGGAAAGAGUGUAAUGCAUACAGUUAGAGGUGGUGUGUUCCUCUUUGGUCAAGCGAUAUCUUGCUUGGUAAAUACUCCAAAACAUAGAAUUAGCUCCACUGCGGUAAUUAACUAUGAGUUGGGACGAUCUAGAACAACAUUAACCUAUAAUGGUGAAAAUUUGACUGUUGCUUCCCGUGGUGUUCUGGAUGGUGCACCUUCUGAAGAACCUAGUGAUGCAUACAGACAUGACAAGUUUCCAGAAGCUGGCUUGGAUGAAUCCGGAAGUAGUUUCAGGUUACCUCAUUCAAAUAAUGGUGCUGAGCUCUCAUCUGCCCCGGAUCACACGUGUACAAUAAGUUUAUCUGAAGGGCAGUCGCCAGAUGUGUACCUCCCUGGCCUCAUUAUUCAUAUCGUUCCCAUAAAGAAUGGUACUUCUCCAUUGCGGAAGACACUUGUGACUCGUCACAAGAACAAGAGUUAUAAAGCAUUUAUAGCGAAUCGGCAGGAUUUUAUGGACCUUGUUGUGACCCCUCGCAUGUUCCUUGAUCAUCUCCCGUGGAGGUGUCACUAUGCCAUGCAAAGGGUUAUAGAAACACGGAAACGGAACCAGCCCAUUCACUAUUCAUCCACCGGAGAGGAUUCUGUCUAA
This 2448-nucleotide ribosomal RNA is filed under the name Triticum aestivum (bread wheat). RNAcentral describes it as "partial small subunit ribosomal RNA". Lineage: Eukaryota; Viridiplantae; Streptophyta; Magnoliopsida; Poales; Poaceae. The record is from RNAcentral.